This 276-nucleotide unclassified non-coding RNA is filed under the name fungal sp. RNAcentral describes it as "partial internal transcribed spacer region". The stretch from base 1 to 46 matches the Rfam family "Eukaryotic small subunit ribosomal RNA", at positions 1786 to 1831 of the family's 1831-position model. The record is from RNAcentral. Lineage: Eukaryota; Fungi.
AAGUCGUAACAAGGUUUCCGUAGGUGAACCUGCGGAAGGAUCAUUACAGAAAAAUGAAGUCAAGUGGGAAAGGGGGAGGGGUCUUCCCCUCUCGUGGACCCAACUUGUCUCAUCUCAUUCAUCCCCUAUGUGAACCUUUGCACAUGCUGGUCCAGGUCUCUCUCAGUGAUCUGGAAGGCUUGUGACUUCUAUAUACUUUAAUAGAUGAGUCUCAGAAUGUACCCUGCGUUUGAUCGCAUGUAAUACAACUUUCAGCAACGGAUCUCUUGGCUCUCU